CUAAAAACCUAGCCUAACAAACUCCCCACUACAUAUGCAUACAGUAAUCUGCUAAAAUAUUUUAACAUUCAAGUAAGGACGACUAAAAAACUCUUAAGCGCCAUAAUAAAGUACCGCAAGGGAAAAGUGAAAUAAUAAUGAAAUACCACAAAAGCACAAAAAAGUAAAGAUUAUAGCUUGUACCUUUUGCAUCAUGGUUUAACUAGUUUAAUCAAGCAAAAAGAUUUUUAGUCCGACCCCCCGAAACUAAAUGAGCUACUUCAAGGCAGCUUACUGAGCUAACCCGUUCCUGUUGCAAAAGGCUGGGGUGACCUUGCAGUAGAGGUGAUAGACCUAACGAAUUUAGUGAUAGCUGGUUACUCAAGAAAAGAAUCUUAGUCCAACCUAAAGCUAACCCAUAAAAUCUACUACUACUUUAGAGCAAUUCAAAUAAGGUACAGCCUAUUUGACACAGGACACAACCUCCAACAACGGCUAACCCGUAAACACUUAAACUAAGUAGGCUUGAAAGCAGCCACCUUAAAAAAGCGUCAUAGCUUAAUUUUACUUAUUCCAAAUCCCACAACUUACUAAGAACCCUUCAUCCGUAUUGAGUACUUCUAUACUGCUAUAGAAAUUUUUAUGUUAAAACUAGUAACAAGAAGACACUUCUCUUUUAAUGCAAGCAUAAAUCAGAACGGAUCAUCCACUGAUACUUACACACCCUAGCAGCAAACCCAUACUCUCGAAAAACCUGCCUUUAUUCUCGUUAACCUAACACAAGAGCAUUUCAAGAAAGAUUUUAAAAAAAAGAAGGAACUCGGCAAAUAUUGAUUCCGCCUGUUUACCAAAAACAUCGCCUCUUGGAUAAAGAUAAGAGGUCCGACCUGCCCAGUGAUAUUAAUUCAACGGCCGCGGUAUAUUGACCGCGCUAAGGUAGCACAAUCACUUGUCUCUUAAAUGGGGACUAGUAUGAAAGGACCCACGAGAAUCUGACUGUCUCCUUUCUUUAAUCCGUGAAACUAAUCUCCCUGUGAAAAAGCAGGGAUCACUAUAUAAGACGAGAAGACCCUAUGGAGCUUUAGAUAAAACAAUACUUUCUUUUUCUAAACCACUUUCAGAAGAAUACCCUCAAGACAUUUUAUUGCCAAUCUUCGGUUGGGGUGACCACGGAGUAAAACUAAUCCUCCACGCCAGAUGGAAUUUUCCAUGACAAAGAGCUACAGUUCUAUGAACCAAAAAAUUGACAAUUGACCCAAUAUUUGAUCAACGAAACAAGUUACCCUAGGGAUAACAGCGCAAUCUACUUCAAGAGUCCCUAUUGACAAGUGGGUUUACGACCUCGAUGUUGGAUCAGGGUGUCCAAGUGGUGCAGCCGCUACUAAAGGUUUGUGUGUUCAACAAUUAAAACCCUACGUGAUCUGAGUUCAGACCGGAGCAAUCCAGGUCAGCUUCUAUCUAUAAAGAGCUUUUUCUAGUACGAAAGGACCGUAACAGCACAACCCAUGCAACCUGCAAGUUAUAUUCAAUAAGUUAUGAUAAUUCUUA
Molecule: ribosomal RNA, 1527 nt
Filed under: Ischnocnema guentheri (Steindachner's robber frog)
Lineage: Eukaryota; Metazoa; Chordata; Amphibia; Anura; Brachycephalidae
Description: partial 16S ribosomal RNA
Rfam family: Bacterial large subunit ribosomal RNA
Source: RNAcentral